GAGGCCCUACGGGGCGCAGCAGUGGGGAAUAUUGCACAAUGGGGGAAACCCUGAUGCAGCGACGCCGCGUGAGCGAUGAAGUAUUUCGGUAUGUAAAGCUCUAUCAGCAGGGAAGAAAAUGACGGUACCUGACUAAGAAGCACCGGCUAAAUACGUGCCAGCAGCCGCGGUAAUACGUAUGGUGCAAGCGUUUUCCGGAUUUACUGGGUGUAAAGGGAGCGCAGGCGGCACGGCAAGCCUGAUGUGAAAGCCCGCGGCCCAACCGCGGGACUGCAUUGGGAACUACCGGGCUGGAGUGCCGGAGG
This 305-nucleotide ribosomal RNA is filed under the name uncultured bacterium. RNAcentral describes it as "bacterial SSU rRNA". It matches the Rfam family "Bacterial small subunit ribosomal RNA", at positions 333 to 655 of the family's 1533-position model. The record is from RNAcentral.